RNAcentral lists this ribosomal RNA (1558 nucleotides) under Phanogenia gracilis. Its description in RNAcentral is "large subunit ribosomal RNA". The stretch from base 789 to 1558 matches the Rfam family "Archaeal large subunit ribosomal RNA", at positions 1423 to 2862 of the family's 2987-position model. Lineage: Eukaryota; Metazoa; Echinodermata; Crinoidea; Comatulida; Comatulidae. The record is from RNAcentral.
UUAUAAAUAAAAAAUAACUCUAAACAAAAAACAUAAAAAAAAUUUUUUAGAAAACUUAAAAAAUUAAACAAAGAAGUAUAAUUAUUAGAAAAUUAAACAAAGAAGUUAUAAAUUACAGUACUGUAAAGGAAAUACGAAAAAUUUAAAAAUUUUAUUUUAGAAAAAGAAAAAUUUAAAAAUUUUACCUUUUGUAUCAUGGUUUAACAACAAAUAAAAGAUUAUAUAAAAUCUUUACCCGAAACCAAGAGAUCUAAUGAAACCCCAACAAAAUGGUUGUAAAAGUAUUACUGUUACAAAAGUAAACUAAGAGGAUUCAUUAGCCAUAAAAAAUGAAACGAGCUUGGUGAUAGCUGGUUUUCUGAAAAAUGAGUUUAAGCUCAAGCUACUAUAUUUUAUUAUAACUUAAAUAAAAUAAAAAUAAAAAGCUAAACCAAAAGGGAUAAACUUUUUGGUUAAAGGAAAAAGCCUAUAAAAAUAGUUAAAGUCAAUAAACAACAAAAAGAAAAUAUGAAUAGUAGGCCUAAAAGCAGCCACCUAAAAAAAAGCGUUAAAGCUUAACAAAAAAUAUUAAAAACAAUAAUUCAUGAAUUUUAAACUAUAACUUUUUAAAACUUUUACAGAAUAUUGACUUUUAAGUCAAAAAAUAAUGUUAAAAUAAGUAUUUUAUUAGAUUAAGUUAAAAAUAUAAACUAUUCUAACAUUUUAAACCUUUAAAUGGAAGAAAGAAAAAACUAUAAACAAGAAAAUAAUUUUAUUAAUAGUUAACCCAACACCGGUAAUCAAAAAAAAAAUUAAAUAAAAGGAAGGAAUUCGGCAAGACUUAGCCUCGCCUGUUUACCAAAAACAUCGCUCUUUGAAAACUACAUUAAUAAAGAGUACUGCCUGCCCAGUGACUAAAAUUCAACGGCCGCGGUAUCUUGACCGUGCAAAGGUAGCAUAAUAAUUUGCUCUUUAAUUGAGGGCUAGUAUGAAAGGCAAGACGAAGGCCAAACUGUCUCCCCUUUAAAAAAAGAAAUUAAUAUUCUAGUGAAGAAGCUAUAAUAAAACCGCAAGACGAGAAGACCCUGUCGAGCUUAAGAAAAUUCUUAUUUUUAAAAUAAAACAAAGCUAAUUUUCCUAAAAAUACUUAUAAUAUAUAAAUAAUAAGAAUAUCUUUGGUUGGGGCAACCACGAAGAAAAAAACAACCUUCGAUUAAACAAAAAAAAUAAACAAAUUUAAAAACUUUAAAAUAAAAAGUAAAUUAAACGAUCCAGAAAAAUACUGAACAAAGGAAUAAGUUACCGCAGGGAUAACAGCGUUAUUCUCUUUAAGAGCUCUUAUUGACAAGAGAGUUUGCGACCUCGAUGUUGGACCGGGGUACCCAAAAGAUGUAGAAGUCUUUAAUGGUAGGUCUGUUCGACCUUUAAAACCCUACGCGAUCUGAGUUCAGACCGACGCAAGUCAGGUCAGUUUCUAUCUACGGAAAAGCAAUUUUAUUAGUACGAAAGGAAUUUAAAAUAGGAAUUAAUUAUUCUAAGAAAACUCCAAAAAAAAACUGAAAACAAAUAAAGAAAGCUU